This 18-nucleotide unclassified non-coding RNA is filed under the name Chlamydomonas reinhardtii. RNAcentral describes it as "small RNA Cre_2340". Lineage: Eukaryota; Viridiplantae; Chlorophyta; Chlorophyceae; Chlamydomonadales; Chlamydomonadaceae. The record is from RNAcentral.
UAGGUGGCUGGCUCCGGC